UACGAAGGGCGCAAGCGUUGUUCGGAAUCAUUGGGCGUAAAGCGCGCGCAGGCGGAAUUGUAAGUCAGAUGUGAAAUCUCGGGGCUCAACCUCGAACGUGCGUCUGAAACUGCAGUUCUUGAGUUACGGAGAGGGUAGGGGAAUUUCACGUGUAGGGGUAAAAUCCGUAGAGAUGUGAAGGAACACCGGUGGCGAAAGCGCCUACCUGGACGUAUACUGACGCUGAGGCGCGAAAGCGUGGGGAUCAAACAGG
This 253-nucleotide ribosomal RNA is filed under the name uncultured bacterium. RNAcentral's name for it is "partial 16S ribosomal RNA". It matches the Rfam family "Bacterial small subunit ribosomal RNA", at positions 524 to 776 of the family's 1533-position model. The record is from RNAcentral.